Molecule: ribosomal RNA, 410 nt
Filed under: uncultured bacterium
Lineage: Bacteria
Description: bacterial SSU rRNA
Rfam family: Bacterial small subunit ribosomal RNA
Source: RNAcentral
AGUGAACGCUGGCGGCAGGCCUAACACAUGCAAGUCGAGCGGCAGCGCGUCCGACCACCCUCGGGUGGUCGGAUGGCGGCGAGCGGCGGACGGGUGAGGAAUGCAUCGGAAUCUGCCUCGUUGUGGGGGAUAACGUAGGGAAACUUACGCUAAUACCGCAUACGACCUACGGGUGAAAGUGGGGGACCUUCGGGCCUCACGCGAUGAGAUGAGCCGAUGCCGGAUUAGCUAGUUGGCGGGGUAAAGGCCCACCAAGGCGACGAUCCGUAGCUGGUCUGAGAGGAUGAUCAGCCACACUGGAACUGAGACACGGUCCAGACUCCUACGGGAGGCAGCAGUGGGGAAUAUUGGACAAUGGGGGCAACCCUGAUCCAGCCAUGCCGCGUGUGUGAAGAAGGCCUCGGUGUAAG